Triticum urartu is the source of this 113-nucleotide non-coding RNA. NCBI's taxonomy places the organism in Eukaryota, Viridiplantae, Streptophyta, Magnoliopsida, Poales, Poaceae. The record is from Rfam.
UAUGUACUCUCUGUUCGAAAUUACUUGUCUCAAAAAUGGAUGUAUCUAGAACUAAAAUACGUCUAGAUACAUUCAUUUUUGCGAUAAAUAAUUCCGAACGGAAGGAGUAGUAC